Gopherus evgoodei (Goodes thornscrub tortoise) is the source of this 178-nucleotide long non-coding RNA. RefSeq lists it as uncharacterized. Lineage: Eukaryota; Metazoa; Chordata; Testudines; Testudinidae. The transcript is spliced from 3 exons. The record is from RefSeq and is a predicted model, not a curated record.
UUAGAAGUUCUUCCCAGUCUGUGGACCCCAUAUCUGCUUAGCAGUCCUUCUUCCCAGAACAGCAUCCCGUGGUAAAGGAAGCUGAAGCUCUCCUGGUGACACCAUCCUCUCAGCCAGGCAUUCACCUCCAGGAUGAAUCUGUCUCUGAUGCAUUCACCUCAGGCAUUCACCUCAGGAU